UGCGUUUAGGGUUACCGGUUCCGG
RNAcentral lists this non-coding RNA (24 nucleotides) under Arabidopsis thaliana (thale cress). The record is from RNAcentral. Lineage: Eukaryota; Viridiplantae; Streptophyta; Magnoliopsida; Brassicales; Brassicaceae.